CACAUGAGACUUAACUGCAGAUGGGUCCAAUCCUAGGAUUGCAUAGAAAUCAAUCUCUCCAUUAAUUUUCAUCUCAGCAGCACUGUGAACUCCAAAAGUUACCACCAUUUGAGCUAUGCCCUCUAAAUCAGGGCACAACAUUUGAGCUUUCAAAGCAUAAUUUUUUGCACCCAAAAAGUCCUUCUCAGCAAAUCUCUUUUCAGCAUUUACCUUAGCUCUAAGAGCCUCAUCUACAUUGGGUUCCAUCUAAAAAUCCAGAUCUGACAGCAAAUUUCCACAAAGGUAGCUGAGAAGCCAAUCAGCAGCCAAAUGGAGGAAGUUGUUAAAUC
Ipomoea nil (Japanese morning glory) is the source of this 329-nucleotide long non-coding RNA. RefSeq lists it as uncharacterized. The record is from RefSeq and is a predicted model, not a curated record. Lineage: Eukaryota; Viridiplantae; Streptophyta; Magnoliopsida; Solanales; Convolvulaceae. The transcript is spliced from 3 exons.